GAGUCUGCGUUCCAUUAGCUAGUUGGUGAGAUAACAGCUCACCAAGGCGACGAUGGGUAACCGGUCUGAGAGGGCGAACGGUCACACUGGAACUGAGACACGGUCCAGACUCCUACGGGAGGCAGCUGUGGGGAAUAUUGCACAWUGGGGGCACACCCUGAUAGUCUASUCAAUACCGCUGUUGAGUGAAUGAAKGUUUUCUGAUCNCAAAGCUCUGUUAUUGGGKAAGAAAAAAGACGG
RNAcentral lists this ribosomal RNA (240 nucleotides) under uncultured Bacillota bacterium. RNAcentral's name for it is "uncultured Firmicutes bacterium partial 16S ribosomal RNA". It matches the Rfam family "Bacterial small subunit ribosomal RNA", at positions 227 to 475 of the family's 1533-position model. Lineage: Bacteria; Bacillati; Bacillota. The record is from RNAcentral.